Molecule: ribosomal RNA, 442 nt
Filed under: uncultured bacterium
Lineage: Bacteria
Description: partial 16S ribosomal RNA
Rfam family: Bacterial small subunit ribosomal RNA
Source: RNAcentral
CCUACGGGUGGCUGCAGUGGGGAAUAUUGGGCAAUGGGCGCAAGCCUGAACCAGCAACGCCGCGUGAAGGAAGAAGGAUUUCGGGUUGUAAACCUCUUUUGACAGGGGAGUGUAGAUGACGGUACGUGUCGAUUAAGCUAUGGCUAACUACGUGCCAGCAGCCGCGGUAAUACGGAGGACGCAAGCGUUUGCCGGAUUUACUGGGUGUAAAGGGCGUGUAGCGGGGUUUACAAGUCAGAUGUGAAAUUCUGUGGCUUAACCGAAGAACUGCGGUUGAAACUGUAGGACUUGAGUAAGUGAGAGGCAGGCGGAAUGCGUGGUGUAGCGGUGAAAUGCGUAGAUAUCAGGAAGAACAUCGGUGGCGAAGGCGACUAACUAGGACAUAACUGACGCUGAGGAACGAAAGCGUGGGGAGCAAACAGGAUUAGAUACCCGAGUAGUC